AGUCGAACGGUGAUGGCCAGCUUGCUGGUCUGAUCAGUGGCGAACGGGUGAGUAACACGUGAGCAACCUGCCCCUGACUCUGGGAUAACGACCGGAAACGGUCGCUAAUACCGGAUAUGAGACGUACAGGCAUCUGUUGCGUCUGGAAAGUUUUUCGGUCAGGGAUGGGCUCGCGGCCUAUCAGCUUGUUGGUGGGGUAACGGCCUACCAAGGCGACGACGGGUAGCCGGCCUGAGAGGGCGACCGGCCACACUGGGACUGAGACACGGCCCAGACUCCUACGGGAGGCAGCAGUGGGGAAUAUUGCACAAUGGGCGCAAGCCUGAUGCAGCGACGCCGCGUGAGGGAUGACGGCCUUCGGGUUGUAAACCUCUUUCAGCAGGGAAGAAGCGCAAGUGACGGUACCUGCAGAAGAAGCGCCGGCUAACUACGUGCCAGCAGCCGCGGUAAUACGUAGGGCGCAAGCGUUGUCCGGAAUUAUUGGGCGUAAAGAGCUCGUAGGCGGUUUGUCGCGUCUGCUGUGAAAACCUCAGGCUCAACCUGGGGCUUGCAGUGGGUACGGGCAGACUAGAGUGCGGUAGGGGUGACUGGAAUUCCUGGUGUAGCGGUGGAAUGCGCAGAUAUCAGGAGGAACACCGAUGGCGAAGGCAGGUCACUGGGCCGCAACUGACGCUGAGGAGCGAAAGCAUGGGGAGCGAACAGGAUUAGAUACCCUGGUAGUCCAUGCCGUAAACGUUGGGCACUAGGUGUGGGGCUCAUUCCACGAGCUCUGUGCCGCAGCAAACGCAUUAAGUGCCCCGCCUGGGGAGUACGG
This 814-nucleotide ribosomal RNA is filed under the name Cellulomonas sp. VC-CS51. Its description in RNAcentral is "bacterial SSU rRNA". It matches the Rfam family "Bacterial small subunit ribosomal RNA", at positions 60 to 885 of the family's 1533-position model. The record is from RNAcentral. Lineage: Bacteria; Bacillati; Actinomycetota; Actinomycetes; Micrococcales; Cellulomonadaceae.